RNAcentral lists this ribosomal RNA (498 nucleotides) under uncultured bacterium. Its description in RNAcentral is "partial 16S ribosomal RNA". It matches the Rfam family "Bacterial small subunit ribosomal RNA", at positions 30 to 523 of the family's 1533-position model. The record is from RNAcentral.
AUUGAACGCUGGCGGCAUGCCUUACACAUGCAAGUCGAACGGCAACAGGUCUUCGGAUGCUGACGAGUGGCGAACGGGUGAGUAAUACAUCGGAACGUGCCUAGUAGUGGGGGAUAACUACUCGAAAGAGUGGCUAAUACCGCAUGAGAUCUACGGAUGAAAGCAGGGGAUCGCAAAACCUUGUGCUACUAGAGCGGCCGAUGGCAGAUUAGGUAGUUGGUGGGAUAAAAGCUUACCAAGCCGACGAUCUGUAGCUGGUCUGAGAGGACGAUCAGCCACACUGGGACUGAGACACGGCCCAGACUCCUACGGGAGGCAGCAGUGGGGAAUUUUGGACAAUGGGCGAAAGCCUGAUCCAGCAAUGCCGCGUGCAGGGUGAAGGCCUUCGGGUUGUAAACUGCUUUUGUACGGAACGAAAAGCCCCGGGUUAAUACCCUGGGGUCAUGACGGUACCGUAAGAAUAAGCACCGGCUAACUACGUGCCAGCAGCCGCGGUAA